AAGACCUUUGCACUUUUGGAGCGGCCGAUGUCUGAUUAGCUAGUUGGUGGGGUAAUGGCCUACCAAAGCUUCGAUCAGUAGCUGGUCUGAGAGGAUGAUCAGCCACACUGGGACUGAGACACGGCCCAGACUCCUACGGGAGGCAGCAGUGGGGAAUUUUGGACAAUGGGCGCAAGCCUGAUCCAGCCAUGCCGCGUGAGUGAAGAAGGCCUUCGGGUUGUAAAGCUCUUUCAGCCGGGAAGAAAAGGUUGCGAUUAAUAAUCGCAAUUUAUGACGGUACCGGAAGAAGAAGCACCGGCUAACUACGUGCCAGCAGCCGCGGUAAUACGUAGGGUGCGAGCGUUAAUCGGAAUUACUGGGCGUAAAGGGUGCGCAGGCGGUUUUGUAAGUCAGAUGUGAAAUCCCCGGGCUUAACCUGGGAACU
RNAcentral lists this ribosomal RNA (424 nucleotides) under uncultured bacterium. Its description in RNAcentral is "bacterial SSU rRNA". It matches the Rfam family "Bacterial small subunit ribosomal RNA", at positions 202 to 622 of the family's 1533-position model. The record is from RNAcentral.